Molecule: small nuclear RNA, 175 nt
Filed under: Pelusios castaneus (West African mud turtle)
Lineage: Eukaryota; Metazoa; Chordata; Testudines; Pelomedusidae
Description: U2 spliceosomal RNA (ENSPCEG00000008132.1)
Rfam family: U2 spliceosomal RNA
About the family: U2 is a small nuclear RNA (snRNA) component of the spliceosome (involved in pre-mRNA splicing). Complementary binding between U2 snRNA (in an area lying towards the 5' end but 3' to hairpin I) and the branchpoint sequence (BPS) of the intron results the bulging out of an unpaired adenosine, on the BPS, which initiates a nucleophilic attack at the intronic 5' splice site, thus starting the first of two transesterification reactions that mediate splicing.
Source: Rfam by way of RNAcentral
UUAGCUUUAAUAAAAAAAUUAAAUCUGUUCUUAUCAAUUUAAUAUCUGAUACAUCCUCUAUCUGAGGACUAUAUAGUAAAUGGAUUUUUGGAACAGUGAGAUGGAAUAGGCGCUUGUUCCAUCUACUCCACGCUUUGACCUGAUACUGGUGUACAUCCAGGAAUGAGCACCUCCC